This 432-nucleotide ribosomal RNA is filed under the name uncultured bacterium. Its description in RNAcentral is "partial 16S ribosomal RNA". It matches the Rfam family "Bacterial small subunit ribosomal RNA", at positions 29 to 506 of the family's 1533-position model. The record is from RNAcentral.
AACGAACGCUGGCGGCAUGCCUAACACAUGCAAGUCGAACGAGACCUUCGGGUCUAGUGGCGCACGGGUGCGUAACGCGUGGGAACCUGCCCUUAGGUUCGGAAUAACUCCCCGAAAGGGGUGCUAAUACCGGAUAAUGUCUUCGGACCAAAGAUUUAUCGCCUUUGGAUGGGCCCGCGUUGGAUUAGCUAGUUGGUAGGGUAAAAGCCUACCAAGGCGACGAUCCAUAGCUGGUCUGAGAGGAUGAUCAGCCACACUGGGACUGAGACACGGCCCAGACUCAUAGGGGAGGGAGCAGGGGGGAAUAUGGGAAAAGGGGCGAAAGCCUGACCCAGCAAUGCCGGGGGAGUGAUGAAGGCUUUAGGGUUUUAAAGCUCUUUUACCCGGGAUGAUAAGAAAAGGACCGGGAAAAAAAGCCCCGGUAAACCCCGU